AGCAGCCGCGGUAAUUCCAGCUCCAAUAGCGUAUAUUAAAGUUGUUGCAGUUAAAAAGCUCGUAGUUGAAUUUCGAGAUCAAAUUGUUGGUCGUGCCUCGGUACGCACUGGCAUUAUUGAUUUCUCCCUUCUGAAGAACCUUGAUGUCAUUAAUUUGGUGUCUUGGGGAAUCAGGACCGUUACUUUGAAAAAAUUAGAGUGUUUAAAGCAGGCUCACGCUUGAAUACAUUAGCAUGGAAUAAUGAAAUAGGACGUUUGAUUCUAUUUUGUUGGUUUCUAGGAUCGACGUAAUGAUUAAUAGGGAUAGUUGGGGGCAUUAGUAUUCAAUUGUCAGAGGUGAAAUUCUUGGAUUUAUUGAAGACUAACUACUGCGAAAGCAUUUGCCAAGGAUGUUUUCAUUAAUCAAGAACGAAAGUUAGGGGAUCGAAGACGAUCAGAUACCGUCGUAGUCUUAACCAUAAACUAUGCCGACUAGGGAUCGGAUGAUGUUAAUUUUUAAUGA
RNAcentral lists this ribosomal RNA (502 nucleotides) under uncultured Glomus. RNAcentral describes it as "SSU rRNA". It matches the Rfam family "Eukaryotic small subunit ribosomal RNA", at positions 569 to 1074 of the family's 1831-position model. Lineage: Eukaryota; Fungi; Glomeromycota; Glomeromycetes; Glomerales; Glomeraceae. The record is from RNAcentral.